GCCUGGGUGGCGGAACGGUUUACGCGUGGCACUCAAAAUGCCAUGGGAGCAAUCCCAUGUGGGUUCGAAUCCCACCCCAGGCACCA
This 86-nucleotide transfer RNA is filed under the name bacterium. Its description in RNAcentral is "tRNA-Leu". It matches the Rfam family "tRNA". From Rfam's summary of the family: Transfer RNA (tRNA) molecules are approximately 80 nucleotides in length. Their secondary structure includes four short double-helical elements and three loops (D, anti-codon, and T loops). Further hydrogen bonds mediate the characteristic L-shaped molecular structure. tRNAs have two regions of fundamental functional importance: the anti-codon, which is responsible for specific mRNA codon recognition, and the 3' end, to which the tRNAs corresponding amino acid is attached (by aminoacyl-tRNA synthetases). tRNAs cope with the degeneracy of the genetic code in two manners: having more than one tRNA (with a specific anti-codon) for a particular amino acid; and 'wobble' base-pairing, i.e. permitting non-standard base-pairing at the 3rd anti-codon position. The record is from RNAcentral.